This 77-nucleotide transfer RNA is filed under the name Candidatus Muproteobacteria bacterium RBG_16_64_11. Its description in RNAcentral is "tRNA-Arg". It matches the Rfam family "tRNA". From Rfam's summary of the family: Transfer RNA (tRNA) molecules are approximately 80 nucleotides in length. The record is from RNAcentral. Lineage: Bacteria; Pseudomonadati; Pseudomonadota; Candidatus Muproteobacteria.
GCCCCGGUAGCUCAGAUGGAUAGAGCAUCCCCCUCCUAAGGGGAAGGUCGGACGUUCAAAUCGUCUCCGGGGCACCA